RNAcentral lists this ribosomal RNA (1108 nucleotides) under Micromonospora sp. BEE12H10. Its description in RNAcentral is "bacterial SSU rRNA". It matches the Rfam family "Bacterial small subunit ribosomal RNA", at positions 52 to 1177 of the family's 1533-position model. Lineage: Bacteria; Bacillati; Actinomycetota; Actinomycetes; Micromonosporales; Micromonosporaceae. The record is from RNAcentral.
UACCUGCAAGUCGAGCGGAAAGGCCCUUCGGGGUACUCGAGCGGCGAACGGGUGAGUAACACGUGAGCAACCUGCCCCAAGCUUUGGGAUAACCCCGGGAAACCGGGGCUAAUACCGAAUAUUACCUGGCCUCGCAUGGGGUUGGGUGGAAAGUUUUUCGGCUUGGGAUGGGCUCGCGGCCUAUCAGCUUGUUGGUGGGGUGAUGGCCUACCAAGGCGACGACGGGUAGCCGGCCUGAGAGGGCGACCGGCCACACUGGGACUGAGACACGGCCCAGACUCCUACGGGAGGCAGCAGUGGGGAAUAUUGCACAAUGGGCGGAAGCCUGAUGCAGCGACGCCGCGUGAGGGAUGACGGCCUUCGGGUUGUAAACCUCUUUCAGCAGGGACGAAGCGAGAGUGACGGUACCUGCAGAAGAAGCACCGGCCAACUACGUGCCAGCAGCCGCGGUAAGACGUAGGGUGCGAGCGUUGUCCGGAUUUAUUGGGCGUAAAGAGCUCGUAGGCGGCUUGUCGCGUCGACUGUGAAAACCCGCAGCUCAACUGCGGGCCUGCAGUCGAUACGGGCAGGCUAGAGUUCGGUAGGGGAGACUGGAAUUCCUGGUGUAGCGGUGAAAUGCGCAGAUAUCAGGAGGAACACCGAUGGCGAAGGCAGGUCUCUGGGCCGAUACUGACGCUGAGGAGCGAAAGCGUGGGGAGCGAACAGGAUUAGAUACCCUGGUAGUCCACGCUGUAAACGUUGGGCGCUAGGUGUGGGGGGCCUCUCCGGUUCCCUGUGCCGCAGCUAACGCAUUAAGCGCCCCGCCUGGGGAGUACGGCCGCAAGGCUAAAACUCAAAGGAAUUGACGGGGGCCCGCACAAGCGGCGGAGCAUGCGGAUUAAUUCGAUGCAACGCGAAGAACCUUACCUGGGUUUGACAUGGCCGCAAAACUCGCAGAGAUGUGAGGUCCUUCGGGGGCGGUCACAGGUGGGGCAUGGUUGUCGUCAGCUCGUGGCGGGAGAUGUAGGGUUAAGUCCCCCAACAGACCGCAACCCUCUGUUCGAUGUUGCCAGCGCGUUAUGGCGGGGACUCAUCCAAAACUGCCGGGGCCAACUCCAAGGGAAGGGGG